GACGAACGCUGGCGGCGUGCUUAACACAUGCAAGUCGAACGGAAAGGCCCUGCUUUUGUGGGGUGCUCGAGUGGCGAACGGGUGAGUAACACGUGAGUAACCUGCCCUUGACUUUGGGAUAACUUCAGGAAACUGGGGCUAAUACCGGAUAGGAGCUCCUGCUGCAUGGUGGGGGUUGGAAAGUUUCGGCGGUUGGGGAUGGACUCGCGGCUUAUCAGCUUGUUGGUGGGGUAGUGGCUUACCAAGGCUUUGACGGGUAGCCGGCCUGAGAGGGUGACCGGCCACAUUGGGACUGAGAUACGGCCCAGACUCCUACGGGAGGCAGCAGUGGGGAAUAUUGCACAAUGGGCGGAGGCCUGAUGCAGCAACGCCGCGUGCGGGAUGACGGCCUUCGGGUUGUAAACCGCUUUCGCCUGUGACGAAGCGUGAGUGACGGUGAUGGGUAAAGAAGCACCGGCUAACUACGUGCCAGCAGCCGCGGUGAUACGUAGGGUGCGAGCGUUGUCCGGAUUUAUUGGGCGUAAAGGGCUCGUAGGUGGUUGAUCGCGUCGGAAGUGUAAUCUUGGGGCUUAACCCUGAGCGUGCUUUCGAUACGGGUUGACUUGAGGAAGGUAGGGGAGAAUGGAAUUCCUGGUGGAGCGGUGGAAUGCGCAGAUAUCAGGAGGAACACCAGUGGCGAAGGCGGUUCUCUGGGCCUUUCCUGACGCUGAGGAGCGAAAGCGUGGGGAGCGAACAGGCUUAGAUACCCUGGUAGUCCACGCUGUAAACGGUGGGUACUAGGUGUGGGGUCCAUUCCACGGGUUCCGUGCCGUAGCUAACGCUUUAAGUACCCCGCCUGGGGAGUACGGCCGCAAGGCUAAAACUCAAAGGAAUUGACGGGGCCCCGCACAAGCGGCGGAGCAUGCGGAUUAAUUCGAUGCAACGCGUAGAACCUUACCUGGGUUUGACAUGGAUCGGGAGUGCUCAGAGAUGGGUGUGCCUCUUUUGGGGUCGGUUCACAGGUGGUGCAUGGCUGUCGUCAGCUCGUGUCGUGAGAUGUUGGGUUAAGUCCCGCAACGAGCGCAACCCUUGUUCACUGUUGCCAGCACGUUAUGGUGGGGACUCAGUGGAGACCGCCGGGGUCAACUCGGAGGAAGGUGGGGAUGACGUCAAGUCAUCAUGCCCCUUAUGUCCAGGGCUUCACGCAUGCUACAAUGGCUGGUACAGAGAGUGGCGAGCCUGUGAGGGUGAGCGAAUCUCGGAAAGCCGGUCUCAGUUCGGAUUGGGGUCUGCAACUCGACCUCAUGAAGUCGGAGUCGCUAGUAAUCGCAGAUCAGCAACGCUGCGGUGAAUACGUUCCCGGGGCU
This 1346-nucleotide ribosomal RNA is filed under the name uncultured bacterium. Its description in RNAcentral is "partial 16S ribosomal RNA". It matches the Rfam family "Bacterial small subunit ribosomal RNA", at positions 28 to 1381 of the family's 1533-position model. The record is from RNAcentral.